RNA transcript from Megalobrama amblycephala (Wuchang bream), 6985 nucleotides. It is a transcript of the gene named thrombospondin type-1 domain-containing protein 7A, with no coding region annotated. The record is from RefSeq and is a predicted model, not a curated record. Lineage: Eukaryota; Metazoa; Chordata; Actinopteri; Cypriniformes; Xenocyprididae. The transcript has 30 exons.
AUAAAUCUCCCUCUUUCUUCCUCCCUCCCUUAGCGACAGCACUCUCCUCUUAUCUUGUCUUCUUUAGCGUCACAGGAGCAUGGCGAAGGAGCGUCCUUGUGCCCUAAGCUCGGAAGAGAGAGAGAGAGAGAGAGUGAGUGAGUGAGUGAGAGAGCGUGAGGCAGAGGGAGGGGAGAUGCGGCGUCAGUCAGCUGCAGUAGGCAGAGGACAGCGGCAGCAGUAAGCAGCAGUGCCGGUAACUGUGGCUGCCGUUCUCUAUUGUUCAGCCAAAGCGUUCUGCUUUUCGUUCCAGCCAACCAGAGGAGCAGAAGACGAGGAGAUCCGCCACAUUCACUGUUCCUUCGGGGAACACUAACUGAAGAGGCACGCAAACUCUUUCAGUCUGUGCGACUGAAGUUCUUUCUCUGCUCUCAUUGGGGUUUCUCUUCCUCCCGACCGAGUGGAUUUUACCCGACUCAGGGGAGCCAUGGGACUUGGGGUUAGGGGUGCAAGGACAGCGUUCCUGUGUUUAUGGAGGUUAUUUUUACUGCUCUGUGGAAUCUGGACCGUUUGCUCCCAAACGACAGGAGACGGGAAGUCGCUGUACUUCUGGGAAACAGGUCCGUGGGGAAGAUGUAUGGGCAGCGAGUGUGGUCCAGGCGGGAGUCAGAGUCGAGCGGUGUGGUGCGCUCAUGUGGAAGGCUGGACGACCCUUCACACAAACUGCCUUCAGGCCACACGGCCAGCCAACCAGCAGAGCUGCUUCCGCGUCUGCGACUGGCACAAGGACCUGUACGACUGGCGACUAGGCGCAUGGAACCAGUGCGUUCCCAUAUCACUGCGGACUGGCCGCACAGGUGUUUGCUUGCAGGGCGAAGAGGGCAUCCAGACGCGGGAGGUGAACUGUGCGCUCAGGGCGGAUGGCUCGGCGGCCGACGACGCCAUCUGUGAGUACUUUGAGCCCAAACCCCGGCAGGAACAGGCCUGUCUCAUUCCCUGCCCUCAAGACUGUGUGGUGACCGAGUUCACCCCCUGGACCACGUGCUCCAAGACCUGUGGGCUGGGCCUGCAGAACCGCGUCCGCUCCGUAGUGGCGCCGCCACUUUUCGGUGGGCUUCCUUGCCCCAAUCUGACAGAGUUCCAGACGUGUGCGCCGAGGGCCUGCGACGGCAGAGAGACGGUGUUCAAUCUGAGAGUGGGCGGCUGGAGCGAGUGCAUGCUGCCACCACCACCACCACCGGAGCCGACCUCCUCUGCCGCCCCCGCACGCACUGUACGCCAAGCCCGGCGGCGGAAAGGCAAAGAGAGGAAAGGAAACAGAGACCCGGAGAUGCGUGAGCUUAUCAAGAACAAAAGGAACCGCAACAGGCUGAAUCGACUAGAGGAUGACCUCUGGAAUAUCGAAGUAGGCUACCAGUCUCGGCAAGUGGUUUGUGUACAUCGAAACGGAAGUACGGUAUCACUCAGCCAGUGUCCCCACUGGAGUCUUCCGGAGACUUACCAGUCCUGCCUGAUGCCUAAAGACUGUGUGGUCAGUGAAUGGAGCAUGUGGGGCUCCUGCACCAAGACCUGCUCAGACCCCAGUGUUCCUCAGGGCGUACACUCCCGCAGCAGACAGCUGGUACGGCUUCCUACUGGAGGAGGGUCCGAGUGCCCCAACCUGGAGGAAAGUCAGACCUGUGAACCUGAAGGAAAUGGGGUGCCGCCCUGUGCUGCUUAUGCCUGGAGGACCACAGAAUGGAGUGAAUGUCGCGUUGACGCGCUGCUCAGCCAGCAGGACCGGCGGCGUGGGAAUCAGACUGGACUGUGUGGUGGAGGUGUGCAGAGCAGGGAAGUGUACUGCGUCCAGGCCAAUGCAGAACUUCUCAGUUACAUCAAUAACAACAAAGACAAACAAGAAGGUCAGUCUCCAAAUGGCCAGGUGCCUAGUGUCCCUCCUCUCCUGUCUAUCACCUUUGAGAUCUCAGCAUCACAACCCGUAGACAUUCGGUUCUGCAAGGGAACGUCUCCAAGUACCACGCAGCUGUGUAACAUCCCGUGCCCUGUGGAGUGUGAACUGUCCCCGUGGGGCGCCUGGGGGCCCUGCACCUUUGAGAAUUGUGAUGAACGGGUCGUGAAGAAAGGUUUCAAGUUCAGACGACGUACAAUCACUAAUGACCCCACGGGUGGCGAGGGGAAUUGUCCUCACCUAGUGGAGGCCAUCCCGUGCGAUGAUCCCAGCUGUUUUAACUGGCAGCUAGUCAAGCUAGAGGCAUGUAUCCCUGACGAAGACAUGGACUGCGGAGAGGGAACUCAGAUUCCACAGGUCCGCUGCAUCAACAAUGAAGGUACAGAGGUGGAGAAGGAGAUGUGUGCGGAUGAGGUCUACCCUGAAUCUGUGCCCUGUAUGGUUCCCUGCCCUAAAGACUGUGCUCUCAGUCUCUGGACUGAAUGGUCCACCUGCUCCCAGACCUGCUCCAGCAAAACCGCCGAGGGCAAGCAGAUGAGAACCAGAGCCAUACUGGCUUACAAUGCAGGAGAAGGAGGUUCCAGCUGUCCGAACACCAGCGCCCUACAGGAGGUGCGGAACUGUAAUGAGCAUCCUUGCAUCGUGUAUCACUGGCAGACGGGCCCCUGGGGGCAGUGCGUGGAGGACACCACCACAUCCACCCUCAAUACUUCCUCCAGUGCAGACAAGUCCACCUGCACCAUGGGCGUGCAGACUCGCAAGGUCAUCUGCAUAAAGGUCAAUGUCGGACAAGUGCCACCCAAAAAAUGUCCUGAAGCCCCUCGGCCAGAGUCAGUACGACCCUGUCUGUUGCCCUGUAAGAGAGACUGUAUAGUGACACCUUUCAGUGAAUGGACAGAGUGUCCCACAUCCUGUGAAGCAGGUGUGAAUGGGCAGAAGAAUAAACGGUUUCGAUAUCGAGUGGUCAUCCAGAUGCCAGCUAAUGGAGGUCAGGAGUGUCCAGACGUCCUUUAUGAAGAGAAAGACUGUGCGACUCCAUCCGUCUGUCCGGGUUACAGGUGGAAAACACACAAGUGGCGUAAAUGUCAGCUGGUCCCAUGGAGCAUCCGCAGAGACAGUAAAGGAGCUCAGGAGAACUGUGGAGCUGGAGUCCAAACUAGAGCUAUCUCAUGUAGGCAGCUGGAUGGUACAGUGGCUGAUGUUGUGCAGUGUCUGAAGUUUGCCAGCAGCAUGCCUGUUAUGAGCCAUCCCUGCCAGUUACCGUGCCGAGACGACUGCCAGCUCUCCAACUGGUCCAAGUUCUCUCCUUGCAGCUCGGACUGCGUAGGGGUCCGUACACGGAGGAGAGCUCUCGUGGGAAAAAGCAAGAAGAAGGAUAAGUGUAAGAACAGCCAGAUGUACCCACUGAGCGAGACCCAGUACUGCCCCUGUGACAAAUACAACGCCCAGCCGGUGGGCAACUGGUCUGACUGCAUCUUGCCCGAGGGCCGUGUGGAAAGCGCUGUGGGCAUGAAGGUCCAGGGAGAUAUUAAGGAGUGCGGCCAGGGCUACCGGUUCCAGGCCAUGGUGUGCUACGAUCAGGAUAACAGGCUCGUGGAGACUUCACGCUGUAACAGUCAUGGGUAUAUCGAGGAGGCCUGCAUCGUCCCUUGCCCUUCUGAUUGUAAACUCAGUGAAUGGUCCAACUGGUCGCGCUGCAGCAAAUCCUGUGGCAGUGGGGUCAAAGUUCGCUCAAAAUGGCUCAGAGAAAAGCCUUACAAUGGAGGAAGACCCUGCCCAAAACUGGACCACCUUAACCAGGCACAGGUCUAUGAGGUGGUCCCAUGCGUCAGUGACUGCAGUCAGUAUAUUUGGGUAGCUGAACCCUGGAGCGUGUGGAAAGUAAGUAACGUGGAUCUGAAGGAGAACUGUGGCGAGGGCGUGCAGACAAGAAGAGUCAGGUGUAUGUUGAACACAGUGGAUGGUCCCACUGACGCGGUGGAAGACUAUCUGUGUGAUCCAGAGGAUAUGCCACAGGGCACGAGGGAGAGCCGACUGCCUUGCCCGGAGGACUGUGUGCUUUCGGACUGGAGUCCCUGGACCCCGUGUGACCUGCCGUGUACUGGAAGAGGAGAUCGGGAGAGGACGGCGUUUGCGCUGCGUCUGCCUAAAGAAGGAGAUGACUGUCCGGUUAGCAUGCAGACUGAGCCCUGCCUCCUGAACCGCAACUGCUUUCACUACAGUUACAACAUCACCGACUGGAGCACAUGCCAAUUAAGUGCCAACGCUGUGUGUGGAAUCGGUCUCAAGACGAGGAUGCUGGACUGCGUUAGAAGCGACGGCAAAUCAGUUGACCUGAAGUACUGCAAAGAGCUGCGCUUAGAGAAGAAAUGGCAGAUGAAUGCUUCCUGCACAGUGGAGUGUCCAAUCAACUGCCAGCUCUCUGAUUGGUCAGCAUGGUCAGACUGCUCCCAGACCUGUGGCCUUGAAGGGAAGAUGUGGCGGAGACGGACGGUGGUUCAGGCGUCUCAAGGGGACGGCAGGCCUUGUCCGUCUCAGAUGGAGCAGUGGAAACCGUGUCCUGUGCGACCCUGCUACAGAUGGCAGUACGGCCCGUGGUCCGAGUGCCGUGUUGAGGAGGUGGUGUGCGGGGUGGGCCUACGUUUCCGGAACCUGUCGUGCUUUGUAUCAGACGGCUCCAGUGAUGGGAAGAGCAGCAUUGUAGAGGAAGAUCUCUGUGCUGGAUUGGAGCAGGCCGUUGACGGAGAUAAGAAAAUUGUUCUGGAGGAGACCUGCACCUUACCCUGCCCUGGUGACUGUUACCUGAUGGAGUGGUCCGACUGGAGCCAGUGUCAGAGAGUGUGUGUGAAGGGUCAGCGUUUGGACUUCACUCCGGUGCAGGUCCGCUCACGUGCCGUCAUCGCGCAGGAACCAGAAAACAUCGCUCAGUGUCCCGAUCAGGAGUGGCAGUCCCGCCCCUGCAGCAAUGGAGAGUGUUAUGAGUACCAGUGGAUGGGCGGUCCUCAGCUGAUCUGGUGUCAACGCUCUGAUGGAAUAAACGUCACAGGUGGAUGCCCUCCAGCACUACUGCCAGGGGCGGACCAGUCAUGUGAUCCACUUUGUGACAAACCACAGUCGUUCUGCUCAGAGGAGGGCGUAUGUAUGUGCGAGGAGGGCUAUACCGAGGUCCUGACAGCCGAGGGGAUGCUGGAGCAAUGUACCCCCAUCCCUGUGCUCGAAAUCCCUACCGCAGGGGACAAAAAAGCCGAUGUGAAGACCAGCCGGGCCAUCAACCCCACCCUGCCCACCACCGUACAGCCUGGCCGCGUGGGACGUACAUGGUACUUGCAACCUUUUGGACCAGACGGAACGCUGAAGACGUGGGUGUACGGAGUGGCGGCAGGUGUUUUUGUCCUCCUGGUAUUUAUAGUGUCAAUGAUUUACCUCGCAUGCAGUUACUGUGCCAUCCGGCGGUCGCUCGGGACGCCAGAUUCUGCCAACGGUACGGUGGUAUGGAUGGGUCAAGACGCCCAUGAACUGACGUACACCUGCCCUGAGUGCCAGCAGCCAAGUCAAGAAUCAAGAGCCAGUUAAAGGCCGGAGAAACAGGCUCCUGAUCUCCUGACAUCUCAGCCCCCUCUGCCUAGUGCCUCGGCCUCAGUCUGUGCCUUAUGAUCUGAUGUUCAAAGCAUCGAGCUGCCCGGCAAAAAGCCAAAGAAGCCUCAGCGAAGACAAAACAAUAAUCGACUGAAACCCCUGACCCUGGCGUACGAUGGCGACGCGGACAUGUAGCCUUUCCUGGAGAACUAACGUCAGCAAAACAUCAUCAACAUUCAGAAAAUGGCUGAAUCUCACUAGAACAUGUCUAGGUCACAUUAUACCCCAAAAUUAAAAGAAUGAUAUUUUUGAUGAAAAGAAACUAAGGCUAUUUUAGCAUCUUUAUGAUUUUGUACAUUGUGAUAUUAUGAAAAUGAGAUUAUUUCAUUAUUCAUGAUAAUGAAACACAUUACUUCCUAAAUCCUUUUUUUUUUUUUUUUUUUUUUACUGUAAUGCAUCUGGACGAUUGAAGUGUUUUUGUAAUUCUCAGUAUUGUCAAUGUUAAAAAUAUCUUCUUCUUUUUAUUUAAAUCAGAACAAGUUAAUCGCAAUAUAACUAAUAUUACCAUGAUGCAUAUUAAUAAUUUAUUGAAAUAUAAAUAUAUGAAAGUUUUUACAUUACAGUAAUAAGAAUUCGGGGUAAAUGUGCUUAAUUGUUAUGAAAAUAAUAUCACAAUGCACAUAGUCUUUAUAGUCAAGUCACCUUUAAUUUUAUAGCGCUUUAUACAAUAGAACUUCAUAGUUCUAUUGUAUAAUUCUAUUAUAGUUCUGUUAUUCAAAUGUUUCAAAGCAGCUUCACAGUAAUAAAGAGAAAAGUAACAGAAUUAAUGAUGCAAGCUUCAUCAGAUAUGACUGAUUCAGACUCUGCUGUAAAACAGCUGUAGCAAGAUAAUAGAGUUAUUCAUUAUUCAGCUCAAUUCAGUUCAAUAACUGUAAAUUUCAUUCAUUUUGAAAAAUUAAAUUCUGCUGUGAAGCAGCUCUACUGUCAUUAUUCAGUAGUGUCAAUAAAAAAGUCCUAAAUAAUCCUAAAAUAAGGCUUCAUUUUUUUGUUUAUGAAAAAUAUAAUUUCUUAUUUUUAUUACUGUUUGUUUUUGGGGUGAAGUAUGACCUAGGCAUGUUUUUGAGAUUCAUCCAAAAUACUCUUCCAAAUGAGAAAUGCCUAACCAUCACAAAUACUGGGCCCUCAUUGCUUGAAUCCAACUUAGAAGAAAGAAACAUCCAAGAGCCGCAAAAGAAAACCUUCAUACUUUGUUUUUACUUCCUGUCCUUGUUCUUUAAGAGCCUUUAUCUGCAUACGCUGUGAGAUCAUGCCUUUGUUUAUUUUCAGUUCCUUACAAGUAUUUGUCAAUUAUGCAACUGCGGUCAAGCUAGUGGUCUUCUACGACUGGUCGGACUUCUCUCUUGGACCUUACCGGAACAACGUUCUUCCGACUUGUGCUUCCCAGCUGAGAGGAUUCGUGUUUUUGGAGGGAGUUAUUGAAUA